Molecule: ribosomal RNA, 253 nt
Filed under: uncultured bacterium
Lineage: Bacteria
Description: partial 16S ribosomal RNA
Rfam family: Bacterial small subunit ribosomal RNA
Source: RNAcentral
UACGGGGGGGGCAAGCGUUGUUCGGAAUUACUGGGCGUAAAGGGCGCGUAGGCGGCCCUCUAAGUCAGACGUGAAAUCCCCGGGCUCAACCACGGGCCUGCAUCCGAUACUGGCGGGCUCGAGGCAGGCAGGGGAGAUCGGAAUUCCUGGUGUAGCGGUGAAAUGCGCAGAUAUCAGGAGGAACACCGGUGGCGAAGGCGGGUCUCUGGGCCGAUACUGACGCUGAGGAGCGAAAGCGUGGGGAGCGAACAGG